This 253-nucleotide ribosomal RNA is filed under the name uncultured bacterium. RNAcentral's name for it is "partial 16S ribosomal RNA". It matches the Rfam family "Bacterial small subunit ribosomal RNA", at positions 524 to 776 of the family's 1533-position model. The record is from RNAcentral.
UACGUAGGGUGCGAGCGUUGCUCGGAAUCACUGGGCGUAAAGGGUGCGUAGGCGGGUCUUUAAGUCAGGGGGGAAAUCCUGGAGCUCAACUCCAGAACUGCCUUUGAUACUGAAGAUCUUGAGUUCGGGAGAGGUGAGUGGAACUGCGAGUGUAGAGGUGAAAUUCGUAGAUAUUCGCAAGAACACCAGUGGCGAAGGCGGCUCGCUGGACCGGUUCUGACGCUGAGGCGCGAAAGCGUGGGGAGCAAACGGG